GGUGCGUGUGGGCAUGUCGGAUCCCUGCUCUGGCAGCGACGGCAUGCAGCGCGUUCCUCCUCAGCUGAUGUUGGUCCAAGCGUGUAUCUGCCUUGGCCGCUANUGGUUUUCUGUGUUGCAUACCAGUUUGUAGGNACCCUUUGUCCCAAACUUCCAUUUUCCGUCAUGCACAGCACCCGUAUUGGGUCGCGGUGUGGGGCGGACCACGAAGACCCGCCGAGUUCCGCGUACCGCACGUUGGAAAUAGCGUGCANACGUUGGCCCCCGGCGACGCGCUCGAUCUCUUGGAUGCGGAAAAUCAUGUGGCAUGUGGUCCUCGACCGCUAUCUGCCCAMAAAUGAGCGUUUCACGCUUCUUGCGAANGANAGCNGNCCCCGUCNCGANNGGGCCCUUGNGGNUCCCNUCNUACGGUGUCNGNNUNNGUGANGAA
RNAcentral lists this unclassified non-coding RNA (430 nucleotides) under Diplacus layneae. RNAcentral's name for it is "partial external transcribed spacer". Lineage: Eukaryota; Viridiplantae; Streptophyta; Magnoliopsida; Lamiales; Phrymaceae. The record is from RNAcentral.